CCUGACUGCUAUCGGAUUGAUACUAAGCCAUGCGAGUCUUUGCAGUAAUGCAAGGCAUACGGCUCAGUAACACGUAGUCAACUUACCCUAUGGACGAGGAUAAUCUCGGGAAACUGAGCAUAAUACUCGAUAGAUCAUAAUGCCUGGAAUGGUUUAUGGUUGAAAUGAUUCGUCGCCAUAGGAUGGGACUGCGGCCUAUCAGCUUGUUGGUGAGGUAAUGGCCCACCAAGGCGAUUACAGGUACGGGCUCUGAGAGGAGAAGCCCGGAGAUGGGUACUGAGACAAGGACCCAGGCCCUAUGGGGCGCAGCAGGCGAGAAAACUUUGCAAUGUGCGAAAGCACGACAAGGUUAAUCCGAGUGAUUUCUGCUAAAGAAAUCUUUUGCAAGUCAUAAAACCACUAGUGAAUAAGGGGUGGGCAAGUUCUGGUGUCAGCCGCCGCGGUAAAGCCAGCACCUCAAGUGGUCAGGAGGAUUAUUGGGCCUAAAGCAUCCGUAGCCGGCUCUGUAAGUUUUCGGUUAAAUCCAUGUGCUCAACGCAUGGGCUGCCGAAAAUACUGCAUAGCUAGGGAGUGGGAGAGGUAGACGGUACUCGGUAGGAAGGGGUAAAAUCCUUUGAUCUAUCGAUGACCACCUGUGGCGAAGGCGGUCUACCAGAACACGUUCGACGGUGAGGGAUGAAAGCUGGGGGAGCAAACCGGAUUAGAUACCCGGGUAGUCCCAGCUGUAAACGAUGCAGACUCGAUGAUGCAUUGGCAUAUAGCCAGUGCAGUGUCGCAGGGAAGCCGUUAAGUCUGCCGCCUGGGAAGUACGUACGCAAGUAUGAAACUUAAAGGAAUUGGCGGGGGAGCACCACAAGGGGUGAAGCCUGCGGUUC
This 875-nucleotide ribosomal RNA is filed under the name uncultured archaeon. Its description in RNAcentral is "bacterial SSU rRNA". It matches the Rfam family "Archaeal small subunit ribosomal RNA", at positions 21 to 903 of the family's 1478-position model. The record is from RNAcentral.